GAUGAACGCUAGCGGCAGGCCUAACACAUGCAAGUCGAGGGGCAUCAUGGCGUAGCAAUACGCUGAUGGCGACCGGCGCACGGGUGCGUAACGCGUAUGGAACCUACCCACCGCAGGGGGAUAACCCGCCGAAAGGCGGACUAAUACCCCAUGGUUCCCCGACCCUGCCUGGGGUUGGGGGUAAAGCCUACGGGCGGCGGUGGAUGGCCCUGCGUGCCAUUAGCUGGCUGGUGGGGUAACGGCCCACCAGGGCGACGAUGGCUAGGGGGUCUGAGAGGACGAUCCCCCACACUGGUACUGAGACACGGACCAGACUCCUACGGGAGGCAGCAGUGAGGAAUAUUGCGCAAUGGGGGCAACCCUGACGCAGCAACGCCGCGUGAGUGAGGAAGGUUUUCGGACCGUAAAGCUCUGUCGAGCGGGAAGAAAUGUAUCGUGGCUAAUAUCCAUGAUAUUUGACGGUACCGCUAAAGGAAGCACCGGCUAACUCCGUGCCAGCAGCCGCGGUAAA
This 511-nucleotide ribosomal RNA is filed under the name uncultured bacterium. RNAcentral describes it as "bacterial SSU rRNA". It matches the Rfam family "Bacterial small subunit ribosomal RNA", at positions 28 to 524 of the family's 1533-position model. The record is from RNAcentral.